This 48-nucleotide non-coding RNA is filed under the name Schistosoma mansoni. The record is from RNAcentral. Lineage: Eukaryota; Metazoa; Platyhelminthes; Trematoda; Strigeidida; Schistosomatidae.
AUCCAGAUGAAGAGUCCCAAAUAGGACGAAACGCGCGUCAAACUGGAU